UACAAUUUCCACACAACUGAUCAAGAUGACAAUGAACCUUAGAAAGCAAACUGACAAAAACCAGUUUCAUUUAUCAUAGUAUACAAAAGAAAAAGUAUAUUGCAGUAUUGAUGCAACCAACUUUUGUCCACCAUUUAGUAGCUCACAGGCUCUCUGGUAAUUUUAUAAUGAUAAGAAAAUCCAUCAAAUGAAAAAUGAAUGUCCAAUAAGUUGUAUUAUUAGAGAGAACUUCUCGAUUAUGGACUUGGAUUAUCCCAACCUCAGUAUGAUGCCACGUAAAUACCCACCUUAUUGUGAUGCUUGCACCAAGUUCUCUUCUUUGUUCUUCUUGCCUCCAGAGAAUAACUUGUAUGCACCAAAGAAAAGCAAGCCCCAACCGGACAAAGAUGCAAUCACAAAAUGUUCUUCCUUCCAUUGACCAGGAUUCAUCGGUUCUUUCCAGCAAUUGACCUUAGGAGGCCCAUGAUGAUCAGCUGCGCCGGCAAGGCCGCGGCGCUGAACAAGAGACGCAGUGGUUGAGGAGGGGAUUCGAGUGAAGGCUGCCGCUCGACGAGCCGCCAUUGUCAACGAGGUAGCCAUAGCUUUGUUCUGAGAAGUGAGAUCGAAGGGGGAAAAAAUUGAAAUUG
RNAcentral lists this unclassified non-coding RNA (626 nucleotides) under Hevea brasiliensis (rubber tree). Lineage: Eukaryota; Viridiplantae; Streptophyta; Magnoliopsida; Malpighiales; Euphorbiaceae. The record is from RNAcentral.